AACUUUCGGCAAUGGAUCACUUGGCUCUCGCAUCGAUGAAGAACGCAGCGAAAUGCGAUAAGUAAUGUGAAUUGCAGAAUUCAGUGAAUCAUCGAAUCUUUGAACGCAUCUUGCGCUCCUUGGUAUUCCGAGGAGCAUGCCUGUUUGAGUGUCAUUCAACUUCUCAACCACAUUCGUUCAUUGAUUGUGGCUUGGAUGGUGGGGGUUUAUUUGCAGGCUUCUUCUGUGAAAACAGAAAGGUCGGCUCCCCUGAAAUGUAUCAGUGGUAUCUGAGGCUAUUGCUAUAGGUGUGAUAAUUAUCUAUGCCCUUGGUAUGCCGCAUGGAACUGCUUCCAACAGAGAUGAUCUUUUUGAUGAAUUUGACCUCAAAUCAGGUAGGACUACCCGCUGAACUUAAGCAUAUCAAUAAGCGGAGGCU
Molecule: unclassified non-coding RNA, 418 nt
Filed under: uncultured Inocybe
Lineage: Eukaryota; Fungi; Basidiomycota; Agaricomycetes; Agaricales; Cortinariaceae
Description: sequence contains ITS2
Rfam family: 5.8S ribosomal RNA (bases 1-154)
Source: RNAcentral